UACGGCGGGAGCAAGCGUUGUUCGGAUUUACUGGGCGUAAAGGGCGCGUAGGCGGCCACCGCAAGUCGACUGUGAAAUCUCCGGGCUUAACCCGGAAAGGUCAGCCGAUACUGCGGGGCUAGAGUGCAGAAGGGGCAACUGGAAUUCUCGGUGUAGCGGUGAAAUGCGUAGAUAUCGAGAGGAACACCUGCGGCGAAGGCGGGUUGCUGGGCUGACACUGACGCUGAGGCGCGAAAGCUAGGGGAGCGAACGGG
RNAcentral lists this ribosomal RNA (254 nucleotides) under uncultured bacterium. RNAcentral's name for it is "partial 16S ribosomal RNA". It matches the Rfam family "Bacterial small subunit ribosomal RNA", at positions 524 to 776 of the family's 1533-position model. The record is from RNAcentral.